Molecule: transfer RNA, 77 nt
Filed under: Promethearchaeati archaeon
Lineage: Archaea; Promethearchaeati
Description: Asgard group archaeon (marine sediment metagenome) tRNA-Ile
Rfam family: tRNA
About the family: Transfer RNA (tRNA) molecules are approximately 80 nucleotides in length. Their secondary structure includes four short double-helical elements and three loops (D, anti-codon, and T loops).
Source: RNAcentral
GGCUCGGUAGCUCAGCUGGCUAGAGCGCAGGACUUAUGAUCCUGAGGUCGCGAGAUCGAAACUCGCUCGAGCCACCA